RNAcentral lists this ribosomal RNA (253 nucleotides) under uncultured bacterium. RNAcentral describes it as "partial 16S ribosomal RNA". It matches the Rfam family "Bacterial small subunit ribosomal RNA", at positions 524 to 776 of the family's 1533-position model. The record is from RNAcentral.
UACGAAGGGGGCUAGCGUUGUUCGGAAUUACUGGGCGUAAAGCGCACGUAGGCGGGUUUGUAAGUAGGGGGUGAAAUCCCAGGGCUCAACCCUGGAACUGCCUUCUAGACUGCAAGCCUGGAGGUCAGGAGAGGCGAGUGGAAUACCGAGUGUAGAGGUGAAAUUCGUAGAUAUUCGGUGGAACACCAGUGGCGAAGGCGACUCGCUGGCUCGUAACUGACGCUCAUGCACGACAGCGUGGGGAUCAAACAGG